UACGGAGGAUGCGAGCGUUAUCCGGAUUUAUUGGGUUUAAAGGGUGCGCAGGCGGCACGGCAGGCCGGCGGUCAAAUCGCGGGGCUCAACCCCGCCCAGCCGUCGGAACUGCCGGGCUAGAGUGGGCGAGAAGUGCGCGGAAUGCGUGGUGUAGCGGUGAAAUGCAUAGAUAUCACGCAGAACUCCGAUUGCGAAGGCAGCGCACCGGCGCCCUACUGACGCUCAGGCACGAAAGCGUGGGUAUCGAACAGG
RNAcentral lists this ribosomal RNA (252 nucleotides) under uncultured bacterium. Its description in RNAcentral is "partial 16S ribosomal RNA". It matches the Rfam family "Bacterial small subunit ribosomal RNA", at positions 524 to 776 of the family's 1533-position model. The record is from RNAcentral.